CAAGAUCUGCUUCUACACCAUGAUUGAGAAGCCUUCUCAUUUGGCAUCGUAUGUUAGAUCUCUACGAUAGCCCCCAUUGUUCUAGUUGAGUUGACCUUUAGGUUUCGAUCGAGAGAAGGGAGAUCUUUCUAUGUUCAAUUGUUGUGCAAUUGAUAGGCAAUUUGUUCUUUAUGUUAUUGGUGAUAGGUGCUGGCUUCAGUCUUUGGCUCAAAAACUCUAGUGAUGAAAAGUUCAGGCUGGUUAGUAGGAUGUUUGUUUCUUUGUUUUCUAAUAUUUGCUGUAACCCUGAGCUAGAGAGCUAGGGUUACAG
RNAcentral lists this unclassified non-coding RNA (310 nucleotides) under Hevea brasiliensis (rubber tree). Lineage: Eukaryota; Viridiplantae; Streptophyta; Magnoliopsida; Malpighiales; Euphorbiaceae. The record is from RNAcentral.